UCUGGUUUGACUAGUUGAACCGGGAACUGGAACUAUGUCUGGUCUGAAAUACAAAGAAAAUUGGUGUCGCAACGAACCAGGAAACCAGAUGAACCGGGAAAACCGGCGGGCUACACAGUUUUGCAGGUAAUCUAGAAUAGUUGUGGUCGUGAGUGGACUCUCUCACGUGUCAUCGUCUUAAGUGCUCUGAUACGUAACGGGAUGAGAAUUUUGUUGUUGCUCUUUGUUCCUUACGUAUUAUUUUAUGAAGUUUUAUGAACAUGUUGUUGGAAUAAUUUUAUGAGAUUUUACCUUGAGGCCUUUGUGUCAAGGUUGUUUUAAACGUUAAAAUAAUUUCCGCUACAAUAAGAUUUAAUUUGAUGAUUGAGAUAAUUAGUAAUUUUACUAUAUU
RNAcentral lists this long non-coding RNA (391 nucleotides) under Medicago truncatula (barrel medic). RNAcentral describes it as "lncRNA gene2205". Lineage: Eukaryota; Viridiplantae; Streptophyta; Magnoliopsida; Fabales; Fabaceae. The record is from RNAcentral.